GAUGAACGCUCGCGGCAGGCCUAACACAUGCAAGUCGAGGGGUAGAAGGAGCUUGCUCCUUUGAGACCGGCGCACGGGUGCGUAACGCGUAUGCAAUCUACCUUGUACAGGGGAAUAGCCCAGAGAAAUUUGGAUUAAUGCCCCAUAGUAUAUAACCUUCGCAUGUUGGUUAUAUUAAAGUUCCAACGGUACAAGAUGAGCAUGCGUCCCAUUAGUUAGUUGGUAAGGUAACGGCUUACCAAGACGAUGAUGGGUAGGGGUCCUGAGAGGGAGAUCCCCCACACUGGUACUGAGACACGGACCAGACUCCUACGGGAGGCAGCAGUGAGGAAUAUUGGUCAAUGGUCGCAAGACUGAACCAGCCAUGCCGCGUGCAGGAAGACGGUCCUAUGGAUUGUAAACUGCUUUUAUACAGGAAGAAACCCUCCCACGUGUGGGAGCUUGACGGUACUGUAGGAAUAAGGAGCGGCUAACUCCGUG
This 480-nucleotide ribosomal RNA is filed under the name uncultured bacterium. Its description in RNAcentral is "partial 16S ribosomal RNA". It matches the Rfam family "Bacterial small subunit ribosomal RNA", at positions 28 to 507 of the family's 1533-position model. The record is from RNAcentral.